RNAcentral lists this ribosomal RNA (468 nucleotides) under uncultured bacterium. RNAcentral's name for it is "partial 16S ribosomal RNA". It matches the Rfam family "Bacterial small subunit ribosomal RNA", at positions 28 to 507 of the family's 1533-position model. The record is from RNAcentral.
GACGAACGCUGGCGGCGUGCUUAACACAUGCAAGUCGAACGGAAAGGCCCUGCUUUUGUGGGGUGCUCGAGUGGCGAACGGGUGAGUAACACGUGAGUAACCUGCCCUUGACUUUGGGAUAACUUCAGGAAACUGGGGCUAAUACCGGAUAGGAGCUCCUGCUGCAUGGUGGGGGUUGGAAUGGUUCGGCGGUUGGGGUUGGACUCGCGGCUUAUCAGUUUGUUGGUGGGGUAGUGGCUUACCAAGGCUUUGACGGGUAGCCGGCCUGAGAGGGUGACCGGCCACAUUGGGACUGAGAUACGGCCCAGACUCCUACGGGAGGCAGCAGUGGGGAAUAUUGCACAAUGGGCGGAAGCCUGAUGCAGCAACGCCGCGUGCGGGAUGACGGCCUUCGGGUUGUAAACCGCUUUCGCCUGUGACGAAGCGUGAGUGACGGUAAUGGGUAAAGAAGCACCGGCUAACUACGUG